Molecule: ribosomal RNA, 1216 nt
Filed under: metagenome
Description: bacterial SSU rRNA
Rfam family: Bacterial small subunit ribosomal RNA
Source: RNAcentral
CCGGCCACACUGGGACUGAGAUACGGCCCAGACUCCUACGGGAGGCAGCAGUAGGGAAUAUUGCGCAAUGGGCGAAAGCCUGACACAGCGACGCCGCGUGGAUGAUGAGGCUUUUCGGAGUGUAAAAUCCUUUCAGCGGGGACGAAACGGUUCUUCGGAGCCCUGACGGUACCCGCAGAAGAAGCACCGGCUAACUCCGUGCCAGCAGCCGCGGUAAUACGGAGGGUGCAAGCGUUGUUCGGAUUUACUGGGCGUAAAGGGUGCGUAGGCGGAUUGGCAGGUCGGAUGUGAAAACCCCACGGCUUAACCGGGGGCGUGCAUUCGAAACCGCUGAUCUUGAGUACGGGAGAGGAAAGCGGAAUUCCUGGUGUAGCGGUGAAAUGCGUAGAUAUCAGGAAGAACACCGGUGGCGAAGGCGGCUUCCUGGCCCGAUACUGACGCUCAGGCACGAAGGCUAGGGGAGCAAACAGGAUUAGAUACCCUGGUAGUCCUAGCGGUAAACGAUGGGCACUAGGUGUUGGGGGUAUCGACCCCCUCAGUGCCGCAGCUAACGCAAUAAGUGCCCCGCCUGGGGAGUACGGUCGCAAGAUUGAAACUCAAAGGAAUUGACGGGGGCCCGCACAAGCGGUGGAGUAUGUGGUUCAAUUCGACUCAACGCGAAGAACCUUACCUGGGUUUGACAUGCACGGGACCGCCUGUGAAAGCAGGUUUUCUCUUCGGAGACCCGUGUGCAGGUGCUGCAUGGCUGUCGUCAGCUCGUGCCGUGAGGUGUUGGGUUAAGUCCCGCAACGAGCGCAACCUCUGUCCCUAGUUGCCAUCAGGUUAAGCUGGGAACUCUAGGGAGACUGCCCCGGUCAACGGGGAGGAAGGUGGAGAUGACGUCAAGUCCUCAUGGUCCUUACGUCCAGGGCUACACACGUACUACAAUGGCCGGUACAGCAGGUCGCAAUACCGCAAGGUGGAGCUAAUCCCCAAAGCCGGCCUCAGUUCGGAUUGGAGUCUGCAACUCGACUCCAUGAAGUCGGAAUCGCUAUUAAUCGCGGAUCAGCAAGCCGCGGUGAAUACGUUCCCGGGCCUUGUACACACCGCCCGUCAAGCCAUGGGAGUUGGGGGUACCCGAAGUCACCUGUCUAACCUUAGGGAAGCAGGUGCCGAAGGUAAAACCAAUGACUGGGGCUAAGUCGUAACAAGGUAGCCGUAGCGGAAGCUGCGGCUG